UACGUAGGGGGCAAGCGUUGUCCGGAAUUAUUGGGCGUAAAGAGCGCGUAGGCGGUCCGAUAAGUCGGCUGUGAAAGUCCAGGGCUCAACCCUGAAACUGCAUUCGAUACUGCGUGGCUAGAGUGCUGGAGAGGAGACUGGAAUUUACGGUGUAGCAGUGAAAUGCGUAGAUAUCGUAAGGAAGACCAGUGGCGAAGGCGAGUCUCUGGACAGCAACUGACGCUGAGGCACGAAGGCCAGGGGAGCAAACGGG
Molecule: ribosomal RNA, 253 nt
Filed under: uncultured bacterium
Lineage: Bacteria
Description: partial 16S ribosomal RNA
Rfam family: Bacterial small subunit ribosomal RNA
Source: RNAcentral